RNAcentral lists this ribosomal RNA (498 nucleotides) under uncultured bacterium. RNAcentral describes it as "partial 16S ribosomal RNA". It matches the Rfam family "Bacterial small subunit ribosomal RNA", at positions 28 to 523 of the family's 1533-position model. The record is from RNAcentral.
GAUGAACGCUGGCGGCGUGCCUAAUACAUGCAAGUCGAACGCUUCACUUCGGUGAAGAGUGGCGAACGGGUGAGUAAUACAUAAGUAACCUGGCAUCUACAGGGGGAUAACUGAUGGAAACGUCAGCUAAGACCGCAUAGGUGUAGAGAUCGCAUGAACUCUAUAUGAAAAGUGCUACGGGACUGGUAGAUGAUGGACUUAUGGCGCAUUAGCUGGUUGGUAGGGUAACGGCCUACCGAGGCGACGAUGCGUAGCCGACCUGAGAGGGUGACCGGCCACACUGGGAAUGAGACACGGCCCAGACUCCUACGGGAGGCAGCAGUAGGGAAUUUUCGGCAAUGGGGGAAACCCUGACCGAGCAACGCCGCGUGAAGGAAGAAGUAAUUCGUUAUGUAAACUUCUGUCAUAGAGGAAGAACGGUGGAUAUAGGGAAUGAUAUCCAAGUGACGGUACUCUAUAAGAAAGCCACGGCUAACUACGUGCCAGCCGCCGCGGUAA